CUCUCAAAAAAUAAAUUAAAAAAAAAAAAAAAAAGAGCUCACUAUAUGUAUAUCACCAUCACCAUGUGAUUUAAUCUCUGCAACACCCCUGCGAGGUCGGGAUUACGCUGCUAUUUGCAGACGAGGAAACUGAGGCAGACGUGAAGCCACAUGCCUCCGUUCAGGCAGUAUUAAGUGGCUGAGUACGGAUAGAAGGCUAAGUCUGCUGGGGGCUCGGGUUGCCAGUGCCCUCUGGUCCGGAGGCCAGCUUUGGGUGAACCCCACCCCCACCCCCAAAGGAGCGCAGGGUGGGACGCGGGGCUGCUCCAGACAAAGACGCCGAGGUGGGUCCGGGGCGGGGCCUCCCAGCUGGCCAGUCCCUCCAGUCCUCCCGCGGGGCGCUCAGCUCGGGACCUCCCGCUCGGGCUCCAGGAAGGCAUGGGCGCCACCUGGUGGCCGCAGGAGGUCAACGCCACCACCGUCUCAUCGGCGCUCAGCGGCGUCCCGCACGCGCUCCCGGCGAAGGCGCCGAUGAGCCCGCGCGCAGGCAAUUCCUUUUCCUCCCUGCCCAGGGUCCUCCGGGGGUGGGGACGUGCGCCUCCACCCCGGGGUUGCCAUGCUGCUGCUGAUUUGGGGGCACGUAUUGCAGCAGCGAAGCUCAUUUUGCUGAGAACAUAUUGUGUCACCAAGCCUCGCGGUCUGGGCCACCACCAAGGGACGAGGCUCCAAGUUUCACUCAUCCAUUCAACACACGUUGUCAAAUGUCACCAGACACGGUCCUGUGCCCCGAGGAUACUGCGGUGACAACGACUCUGCCUGCGGGACAUUCAGGUGGGGGGCGGGGCAGAUUCGGAAAUAAACAAGAAACAAACAAACGCA
Molecule: long non-coding RNA, 858 nt
Organism: Panthera uncia (snow leopard)
Lineage: Eukaryota; Metazoa; Chordata; Mammalia; Carnivora; Felidae
Exons: 2
Source: RefSeq, a predicted model, not a curated record